UGGCCACUCUGCUAAGCUAACAUUUGCCUUGCAGAAAUGGAGAUCCUAACCUAUGUCAACACAGAGAAUAGGUGCUGGGACUCCCUGGAUCCACCCCACUGCCCCUGACCCACUUCCUGCAGUCACUUUGUCCCAACAAACCACUCCACAGAGACAUGGCACUGUCACCGCGCCCUGCCCCCCCCCCCCCCCCCCCCCCGCCGUGGGCACGCAGAGGCAAAGGUGCUGGGGUCCGUCCCCUCCCCCUCCUGCUAAGCCUCUUGAGUGGAGGCCUUCCGGUUCUUGGCCAUGUGGGGCCCGGUGUGGAGGAGAGGGCUCUGGGCCCACCAUCGGUCGUGGAGGCUGGGGCUCUGAGUCACAGGCCCUCGGCCUCAAGGCCCAGCCUGCUACCUGAUGCUGUGUGCCUUCUGUCAGCUUCCUUGACCUCCCUGACCGUCACGUCCUCGGCAACCUGGAGUCCAGGCGGGGGAGCACCUAGACAACUUGGGGGCCAAAAGGAGAUGCUGUUGAUGCUUAAACCAGAGCAACAGGCACGAACCGCACUGUCCUGGGUGUAGGGUGAUUCUGGCUGCAGAACGGGCAGGGGCCCGAGCCGUGGGGGGGCGCACUGCCAUGACAGCUGUUGCUGUUUCUGAGGAAGCGUCCCUCCCUCUGCCUGCAGUGUCACUCAUUCACUCCUUCCUCCGUAUCCCCCCAGGCUCCCGGAGGCUGGAGACGCAUGCCACCACCUCCCUGAAGCCCCCCCCCCCCCCCCGCCAUGGGGGCUGGCGUCAGCUGCUGCACUUUCCAGAGGGCAAGGUUGUUAGUUCCUCAUGAUGACCGGAGCUGUAGUCACGAGACCCCGAGCACACAGGACACAGGGCUGCAGGCCUGCCAGGACGAUGGGCGGAGCCUAUGCCAGGACAAUGGGCGGAGCCUCUGCCAGGGAACCCGGCUGUCCUUUGCAUCAUUGCAGCACCCUGUCACACUGCGUUUGCAGGAUCACGAGAGUCAGCCCCUCCCAGGAGCCUGCGUUGUCCAGGGAGGACUGGCACCGAGCGCCCAGAGGGGGCUGAGCUGAGCUGGGACCUAAGUGCCUAUGAGAGGCCAGAUGCCAACAAGGUGCAACUCUGAAUCAUCCUUGAGACCCUGGAAAAGUGCUCCCCGCCCCCGCUCUCAAACAGGCAGUCGUGAAGGAGAACCAUCCUUGAGGAAGCGUCAGGAGGGCAGAAACCCUCUCACAUUUGGCCACAUGGCCCAGCCAAGGUGCCACGUGACAUGAACCAUCACAGUGUCAUCGAUAUUUUGUUCAUCCGCACAUCAGCUGACCGGCGUUCGGGCUGCUCCCACCUCUCGGCAGCUGUGAGCAGUGCUGCUGGGAACAUGUGCAUGUCUGGA
This is a long non-coding RNA of Prionailurus viverrinus (fishing cat), 1377 nucleotides long. RefSeq lists it as uncharacterized. The record is from RefSeq and is a predicted model, not a curated record. NCBI's taxonomy places the organism in Eukaryota, Metazoa, Chordata, Mammalia, Carnivora, Felidae. The transcript has 3 exons.